ACUUUUAACCAGAAGAAUACAGGAGACAUGACACAGCAUAACUUUCAAGAUCAGAUUAGAAAAAGCUACGAAGCUUACACCUGGUGUUCUUGGGAUUUUACCUCUGGGAGAAACAAAAACCCUGUAAAGAAAUCUGAUUAUCCUGAGGCUGCUAUGCUGGAGAGGCUGCUAUGCUGGAGAGGCUGCGUGUAGGUGCUCUGGCUGACAGCCCAGCUAAGCUUUCAGCUGAAACCAACUGCCUGUCAUGUGAGUGAUCCAUCUCGGAUGACAAGCCUAGUCAUGCCAUUGGAGGACUACAGCCCCAACAGAGAUCUGAAUGCAGUCCACGACAGACUCCAAGUAAUGAAAACAAUCAUCUUCCUUGUUUUCCUUCGUUUGGAUUAUUUCCUUAGAAUAACUUUCCAAAGAAGAACAAUCAAGUGACAGAGGAUGAAUAUUUUCAUAAUUUCUAAUUCAUACUGCCAAAUUACUUUCCUAAAAGAUAGUACCAAUUUGCCACCAGCAACUUAUGAUAUAGAAGUUUUAUUGUAACUUCACCAGAUUGGGUGUUGUCAUCUUAAAGCAUAUUUAAAAGCAUCAUAAAUUCAAAAGCUGUUCUGGUGGACCUGGUGUGAAAUUUCAGUACUCUGAUCUUAGGAGGGAAUUUACACUCGUUGUAGCCAUAGAAUCCUCUCCUGCUCAGUCUAACUCAGCCCUUUACUAUCUAGUUAGUGCUUUUUUUUUUUUUUUCUCAAUAAAAUUCUUCUACUGUGUUCUCAGCCUCCUUCUGGAAAGUUGGCCCAGGAGAACAUUUGUAGCCUGAGCUAGAUCUACUCCUCUGCAUUGCUUACAUGUAUGUCAAAAAUAGCCCUGAACUAUGCUGACAUUCUGGUCUAUGUCCAGCUUGAUACCAAGUUAUCAUUGAUUGAGAGUUAAGCAUGAGUCAUGCAUAUAUUCAUUUCAUUCAUUCUCUCAACCAACUUGCAAGAUAGACUUUAUCCCCCCUUUUAAGAUGAAGAUACUAGACAUCAAAGACAUUCAAUAACUUGCCAAGGUCACACAAUUUGUAACCGAUGGAGACAGGAUUUGAACCCAUGCUUUUGGCCACUACAUUUCACUGCCUCACCUAGUCUGCUGAUCUAUUGGGUGUUUCCUUCCCACUUUCCCAGACUUCCUGGGAGGAACCUAGAAGGCAGUGGAAAAUCACCCUUGGCUCCCUUAAAAUACUGUCUAUUCCCUCUAAACACUGUCUUGAUCCAUAUUUUUGAACCACCCCAAUUUAAAAGUCAAUAUUCAUGUCAUGCCUCUGUCUAUAUCCCCAUAUGGCAAGAACAUUAUAAUGUGUCUUGAUGUAUAUUUUGUUAGAAAUUAUUUGGAGGAAGUAUAAAUGAAUAUGCCUGUAUAAAUAUAUGAACAUCUUUUCUGAAAAAUUUAUUUAUGAGUCUAAGAAAUGUUCAGACUUCUUAAAUAAAAUGGAAGAAAAAAGUAUUUUGAGUUAUUCUACUUUUCUCUAGUCCUUUAUCUUUCUCCUUCUUCAGGAUAAGCUGUGAUAUGAAAAAUUGAAGCCAAAAAAAGAAUCCUCUGAGAGAUUGAAGAGUGCGCUAUAAACAUGAUUUUGCUUCUCAGGAAUGGGAAUUCCAUGAAAGCAAGGACUUUGUUUCAUUCCCUGCAGUGUCCCAGCAUUUUAACAGCACCUGGCACACAGUAGGUGCUCUGCUCAUAUCUGCGGAGUCAAUGAGUGUGCUACCUGGGUCCCUGCCCAACAAUGUCUAGUCUCUACAGUUGCAGUAAUCUGUCAUGCAACUUCAAGCCGUGCAUCUGCCACUGAACCAACCCUAGGCCCUUGAUGCUCAAAGCCUGGUCCCUGGGCCAGUAUCUGGAAGCUUGCUCAGCAAUGCAGAAUCUCAGGCCCCACCCCAGACUCACUGAAUCAGAAUCUGCAUUUUAACAAGAUCUCCAGCUGAUUUGUGCCUACAUUAAAGUUUGCAAAUUGACUGUCUAAGCCAAUCUCAAGAUGUGGUCUCUGGCCUAGCAGCAUCAAUAUCACCUGGGAACCUGUUAGAACACCUAUGAAAUCAGAGACUCUGGGACCAGGGCCCAGCUCUAUGUACUUGUAAGCUUUAGGAGAUUCUGAUGCAUGCUGCUGUUUGCAAACCACAUUCCCAAGCUCAGCUUCACCAACUUUGCUCCUAAUUCCACCUGGACCUUAAAUCUCAGUUGCAGUAACUGGGCUAUUUUCUUACAUCCUAUAACCAAAACUUUGCUUAAACUCUUUUAAUUAUGGGGAAUAACUUCCUCCUAAUAAGCUUUGCAUUUCAAAUCUGGAUAGUUUUGAAAGUUCUUCUUUGCCAUUUGUAUGGAGUUUGAUAUACUCCAUUCCAUUCCAAACAAAAUGAAUAAUCUCAUCCCUCUGACCCAACCCUUAGAGUCUAGAUAGAAAAUUCCAAAAAUGAGUUUCAGAAAAUAUGAAUAGAUGAUGUGGAGACUAUUCAUAGCCAUGGGUACAGCUAUUCCCUGCAUGAAGGUGCUCAGCAGACGGCCAUGUACGAAAGCUGAAAUCCAGCCUAUACUUUAUUCCCUAAGCAAUUCACCUACAGGGCUACAUCCGCCCAGUGUGUGCCUUUUUCUAAUUGACCCAAAGUUAUUGGACAAGCUAGCUGUGGUCCUGAGUCUUAUGCCUGUGGCUUGGGGACCAUGAUUUAAAUGGCUGUAUACAGUAUAGUACCACUGUCCAAGAGUGAUGUAGUGCACACCAUUCUAACAGCAUUUUCUAUGCUAUGCCCAUCCACCUUGAUUACAGUGAUCGAUUAUUCUCCUCUACUCCUUCUAACAGUCAUAGACUGUUUGCUCUUCUUCUAAUUCCCACUCUUUCCUCCAGGUUCACUGUUAGUCUCUCACUUGUCAACUAUUUGAUCUCUCUUCUAAGGCUUUAUUCGUGUAUCUUGCUUCAUUUGUCAGAGCUCCUACACAUGGUUCUGCAAAUUUUUACAAAACUCCUAAAAUAAAUAAAUGCUAAAA
Molecule: long non-coding RNA, 2997 nt
Filed under: Homo sapiens (human)
Lineage: Eukaryota; Metazoa; Chordata; Mammalia; Primates; Hominidae
Description: HSALNT0318723
Source: RNAcentral